This 660-nucleotide ribosomal RNA is filed under the name Bacillus sp. JSM 081002. Its description in RNAcentral is "bacterial SSU rRNA". It matches the Rfam family "Bacterial small subunit ribosomal RNA", at positions 116 to 762 of the family's 1533-position model. The record is from RNAcentral. Lineage: Bacteria; Bacillati; Bacillota; Bacilli; Caryophanales; Bacillaceae.
CGUGGGCAACCUGCCUGUAAGACUGGGAUAACUCCGGGAAACCGGGGCUAAUACCGGAUAACUCUUUUCCUCACAUGAGGAAAAGCUGAAAGAUGGUUUCGGCUAUCACUUACAGAUGGGCCCGCGGCGCAUUAGCUAGUUGGUGAGGUAACGGCUCACCAAGGCCACGAUGCGUAGCCGACCUGAGAGGGUGAUCGGCCACACUGGGACUGAGACACGGCCCAGACUCCUACGGGAGGCAGCAGUAGGGAAUCUUCCGCAAUGGACGAAAGUCUGACGGAGCAACGCCGCGUGAGUGAUGAAGGUUUUCGGAUCGUAAAACUCUGUUGUCAGGGAAGAACAAGUACCGGAGUAACUGCCGGUACCUUGACGGUACCUGACCAGAAAGCCACGGCUAACUACGUGCCAGCAGCCGCGGUAAUACGUAGGUGGCAAGCGUUGUCCGGAAUUAUUGGGCGUAAAGCGCGCGCAGGCGGUUCCUUAAGUCUGAUGUGAAAGCCCCCGGCUCAACCGGGGAGGGUCAUUGGAAACUGGGGAACUUGAGUGCAGAAGAGAAGAGUGGAAUUCCACGUGUAGCGGUGAAAUGCGUAGAGAUGUGGAGGAACACCAGUGGCGAAGGCGACUCUUUGGUCUGUAACUGACGCUGAGGCGCGAAAGCGU